RNAcentral lists this transfer RNA (68 nucleotides) under Streptomyces roseolus. RNAcentral describes it as "tRNA-Ser". Lineage: Bacteria; Bacillati; Actinomycetota; Actinomycetes; Kitasatosporales; Streptomycetaceae. The record is from RNAcentral.
AGGUGCGCAGGAGACGGAUACUUCCACUGCUAAUGGGGUGGUCGCGGGUUCGAGUCCCGCCGCCCUUC